This 1437-nucleotide ribosomal RNA is filed under the name uncultured organism. RNAcentral's name for it is "16S ribosomal RNA". It matches the Rfam family "Bacterial small subunit ribosomal RNA". The record is from RNAcentral.
CAGGCUUAACACAUGCAAGUCGAGGGGCAGCAUGGUCUUAGCUUGCUAAGGCCGAUGGCGACCGGCGCACGGGUGAGUAACACGUAUCCAACCUGCCGUCUACUCUUGGACAGCCUUCUGAAAGGAAGAUUAAUACAAGAUGGCAUCAUGAGUCCGCAUGUUCACAUGAUUAAAGGUAUUCCGGUAGACGAUGGGGAUGCGUUCCAUUAGAUAGUAGGCGGGGUAACGGCCCACCUAGUCUUCGAUGGAUAGGGGUUCUGAGAGGAAGGUCCCCCACAUUGGAACUGAGACACGGUCCAAACUCCUACGGGAGGCAGCAGUGAGGAAUAUUGGUCAAUGGGCGAGAGCCUGAACCAGCCAAGUAGCGUGAAGGAUGACUGCCCUAUGGGUUGUAAACUUCUUUUAUAAAGGAAUAAAGUCGGGUAUGCAUACCCGUUUGCAUGUACUUUAUGAAUAAGGAUCGGCUAACUCCGUGCCAGCAGCCGCGGUAAUACGGAGGAUCCGAGCGUUAUCCGGAUUUAUUGGGUUUAAAGGGAGCGUAGAUGGAUGUUUAAGUCAGUUGUGAAAGUUUGCGGCUCAACCGUAAAAUUGCAGUUGAUACUGGAUAUCUUGAGUGCAGUUGAGGCAGGCGGAAUUCGUGGUGUAGCGGUGAAAUGCUUAGAUAUCACGAAGAACUCCGAUUGCGAAGGCAGCCUGCUAAGCUGCAACUGACAUUGAGGCUCGAAAGUGUGGGUAUCAAACAGGAUUAGAUACCCUGGUAGUCCACACGGUAAACGAUGAAUACUCGCUGUUUGCGAUAUACAGCAAGCGGCCAAGCGAAAGCGUUAAGUAUUCCACCUGGGGAGUACGCCGGCAACGGUGAAACUCAAAGGAAUUGACGGGGGCCCGCACAAGCGGAGGAACAUGUGGUUUAAUUCGAUGAUACGCGAGGAACCUUACCCGGGCUUAAAUUGCAGAUGAAUUACGGUGAAAGCCGUAAGCCGCAAGGCAUCUGUGAAGGUGCUGCAUGGUUGUCGUCAGCUCGUGCCGUGAGGUGUCGGCUUAAGUGCCAUAACGAGCGCAACCCUUGUUGUCAGUUACUAACAGGUUCUGCUGAGGACUCUGACAAGACUGCCAUCGUAAGAUGUGAGGAAGGUGGGGAUGACGUCAAAUCAGCACGGCCCUUACGUCCGGGGCUACACACGUGUUACAAUGGGGGGUACAGAGGGCCGCUACCACGCGAGUGGAUGCCAAUCCCAAAAACCUCUCUCAGUUCGGACUGGAGUCUGCAACCCGACUCCACGAAGCUGGAUUCGCUAGUAAUCGCGCAUCAGCCACGGCGCGGUGAAUACGUUCCCGGGCCUUGUACACACCGCCCGUCAAGCCAUGGGAGCCGGGGGUACCUGAAGUGCGUAACCGCGAGGAGCGCCCUAGGGUAAAACUGGUGACUGGGGCUAA